RNAcentral lists this unclassified non-coding RNA (190 nucleotides) under Claviceps panicoidearum. Its description in RNAcentral is "ITS2". The record is from RNAcentral. Lineage: Eukaryota; Fungi; Ascomycota; Sordariomycetes; Hypocreales; Clavicipitaceae.
CAACCCUCAGGCCCCCAGGGGCCUGGUGUUGGGGACCGGCUCCCCGGGCGCCCGGUCUGACCCGGGCCCGCCCUGCCGCCCCCCAAAUGGAUCGGCGGCCACGCCGCGGCCUCCCCUGCGCAGUAACAUACCACCUCGCAGGCGGCGGCUCGGCGCGGCCACGGCCGUAAAACGCCCAACUUCUCCAGAG